UCCUUCCAUAGCUCAGUCAGCAGAGCAUGAGACUCUUUAACCUCAGGGUUGUGGGUUCGAGCCCCACGUGGGGCGAA
This is a non-coding RNA of Podarcis lilfordi (Lilford's wall lizard), 77 nucleotides long. Lineage: Eukaryota; Metazoa; Chordata; Lepidosauria; Squamata; Lacertidae. The record is from the annotation of a GenBank genome assembly.